CAUGCAAGUCGAACGGAGUCUGCAUGAAACCUAGUGAUUGUAGACUUAGUGGCGGACGGGUGAGUAACGCGUGGGUAACCUGCCUUGUACUGGGGGACAACAGUUGGAAACGACUGCUAAUACCGCAUAAGCGCACAGCUUCGCAUGAAGCAGUGUGAAAAACUGAGGUGGUACAAGAUGGACCCGCGUCUGAUUAGCUGGUUGGUGAGGUAACGGCUCACCAAGGCGACGAUCAGUAGCCGGCCUGAGAGGGUGAACGGCCACAUUGGGACUGAGACACGGCCCAAACUCCUACGGGAGGCAGCAGUGGGGAAUAUUGCACAAUGGGGGAAACCCUGAUGCAGCGACGCCGCGUGAGUGAAGAAGUAUUUCGGUAUGUAAAGCUCUAUCAGCAGGGAAGAAAGAAAUGACGGUACCUGACUAAGAAGCCCCGGCUAACUACGUGCCAGCAGCCGCGGUAAUACGUAGGGGGCAAGCGUUAUCCGGAUUUACUGGGUGUAAAGGGAGCGUAGACGGCAUGGCAAGUCUGAAGUGAAAUGCCAGGGCUUAACCCUGGAACUGCUUUGGAAACUGUCUAGCUAGAGUGCAGGAGAGGUAAGUGGAAUUCCUAGUGUAGCGGUGAAAUGCGUAGAUAUUAGGAGGAACACCAGUGGCGAAGGCGGCUUACUGGACUGUAGCUGACGUUGAGGCUCGAAGGCGUGGGGAGCAAACAGGAUUAGAUACCCUGGUAGUCCACGCGGUAAACGAUGAAUACUAGGUGUAGGAA
Molecule: ribosomal RNA, 766 nt
Filed under: uncultured bacterium
Lineage: Bacteria
Description: bacterial SSU rRNA
Rfam family: Bacterial small subunit ribosomal RNA
Source: RNAcentral